AGCAGCCGCGGUAAUUCCAGCUCCAAUAGCGUAUAUUAAAGUUGUUGCAGUUAAAAAGCUCGUAGUUGAAUUUCGAGACCGGUCUACUGGUCGUGCUUUUGUACGUACUGGUAUAAUCGGUUUCUCUCUUCUGACGAACUAUGGUGCCAUUAAUUUGGUGUUUUAGGGAAUCAGGACUGUUACUUUGAAAAAUUAGAGUGUUUAAAGCAGGCUCACGCUUGAAUACAUUAGCAUGGAAUAACGAAAUAGGACGUUUGAUUCUAUUUUGUUGGUUUCUAGGAUCGACGUAAUGAUUAAUAGGGAUAGUUGGGGGCAUUAGUAUUCAAUUGUCAGAGGUGAAAUUCUUGGAUUUAUUGAAGACUAACUACUGCGAAAGCAUUUGCCAAGGAUGUUUUCAUUAAUCAAGAACGAAAGUUAGGGGAUCGAAGACGAUCAGAUACCGUCGUAGUCUUAACCAUAAAUUAUGCCGACUAGGGAUCGGAUGAUGUUAAAUUAAUGACUCA
RNAcentral lists this ribosomal RNA (503 nucleotides) under uncultured Glomeraceae. RNAcentral's name for it is "SSU rRNA". It matches the Rfam family "Eukaryotic small subunit ribosomal RNA", at positions 569 to 1078 of the family's 1831-position model. Lineage: Eukaryota; Fungi; Glomeromycota; Glomeromycetes; Glomerales; Glomeraceae. The record is from RNAcentral.